GUCUUUUUGUUUAUAAUUUAAAGUCUUGCCUGCCCACUGAAUAUUUAAAUGGCCGCGGUAUUUUGACCGUGCAAAGGUAGCAUAAUCAUUAGUUUUUUAAUUGAAAGCUGGAAUGAAUGGUAGAAUAAAAGAAAUUCUGUCUCAAAUUAAUUAUUUUAAAAUUUUAUUUUUAAGUUAAAAAGCUUAAAUUUUUUUAAAAGACGAGAAGACCCUAUAGAGUUUAAUAAAGAUUUUAAAUAUUUUAAAAAUGAUUAUAUAUUUAUUUAAAAAAUUUAUUUUAUUGGGGUGAUAGAAAAAUUUAAUUAACUUUUUUUUAUUCAAAACAUUUAUUUAUGAUUAUUUGAUCCAAUAUUUUUGAUUAAAAGAGUAAAUUACCUUAGGGAUAACAGCGUAAUUUUUUCAGAGAGUUCUAAUCGAAGAAAAAGAUUGCGACCUCGAUGUUGGAUUAAAAUUAAUUAUUGGUGUAGAAGCUAAUUUAUUGGGUCUGUUCGACCUUUAAAAUUUUACA
This 508-nucleotide ribosomal RNA is filed under the name Anidrytus trinitatis. Its description in RNAcentral is "partial 16S ribosomal RNA". The stretch from base 382 to 508 matches the Rfam family "Bacterial large subunit ribosomal RNA", at positions 2473 to 2600 of the family's 2925-position model. Lineage: Eukaryota; Metazoa; Arthropoda; Insecta; Coleoptera; Endomychidae. The record is from RNAcentral.